GCAGUCACCCCGGGCAGACCGCUCCUCACGGAGGUUCCGCCAGGUUUUAUUUAGUGGGGGUUAUCCAGCGGGUCUGGAAUAAAUACGUAACGUGUGACAGGUCUGAACAAAAUUCUUUCCUGUGCGUGAGUGGUUGAUGUUAUUCCGUAACUAUUUCGACAGGAUAAUUCCAUAACUAUUUGUGCAAGAGACUGGAAGAGAUAAGGGCUGCAGAAGUUAAACAGGCUAUUUCCUGUCGAUAUUAGACAGGACUUUUCCUGUUUGUAAAUGAGCACAGUCAAAGAAGCCCUUUCAACGAAAGAGCAAUGGUUGUUAAGGACACCUGCUGUUACAAAAGAACUUCCUACAGGAGCUAAUUAUUCAAUAGAUUGGCUUCUGGUGUCUAUAUUGCAGAAGCAGAUGUUCAAGAAAUUACUCAGAUGCUUAAAAUGGUGUAUAACUGGAAUCACCUGGAAAAAAUGAACAACACUUGGAAAAUCUACUUGAUAGAGAGCUGGAGAGGCAUCCUGAAGUGAUAUGGGUUUGAAGAUGCCUAUAUUUUCAUGAGGGUAGGCAAGAAAAAAAGAGUGAAUAGUUCUUGGCAGCUACUUUUUGUAAGGUAAAUACUGUAGAGGUGUCUAGAAAUUUGUCUUAAAGCACUGUAAACACUUCAGUGUCUAUAGUUCUCAUUCUUUGUUGGUUGUAGUAAUAAUUUUAAUUUAUUGUUCUAAUGCUCUUCUGUACUCUGUUAUUCCUAUAAUGAAAUAGGAGUCCAAAUUUAAGUAACACUGGACUUAUUGAGGUGGCUACCUGCCACCCUUUCUGGUAAAGCAUUAGUAAAUGUUGAGAAUAUUAAAUCAUUUUAAAUGUGCUUGUACACAUUUCACUUGAGACAUCAAGUUCUUGAACAUCUCAGUCUGAGUUUUAAUGAGAUUUUAUAUGGCUUCAAGACUGUGAAGGCUUAUAGCCAUUUCUUACUUGUGUUUUUUGUUUAAUAGAUUCCUUAUUCUAAACCAUCCCGUGAUAUAUAGUCACGUGGAGAACAGAUGCUGAAUUCUGCCCUUUUUUAAAUGCCAUGCUCUGAAACUCUGGUGGUUUCUCCUUUUCACUUAGAAAUAAUGAUAAAACAACCAACAUAGGACCAUCACAUGAGCUUCCUGGCCUUUAUUUCUCCAUUUUAUGUACCUGAAAGAGUUAUUCAAAUUUUACUUCUGGUUUUCAUUCAUGGGCUCUGAAAAUAUAUAGCAUAUAUUACAUAUUCCAAAGUUUCUUUGACUGUGGCUGAAAAAAAUAUGAAUCUCUGCUUAGCUGGUAAGUAAUUUCUGCCUUAAUUGUAGUGCUAUAGGAACAAUGAAGCUUAAAAUUCUGUUUUGAACAAAUUUCAGAUUUAAUGGAGGAACAGUGUACAGAAAAAUGAUGUAUUAUAACUAACGUAUAUAAGGUUUGACCUGUGAUAGGUCUUGUCAAAGCCAUGAAACUUGGAGCUGCAUAAAAAUACAUAUAAGCUUACCUGAAGUAAUUGCAUCUAUGGAGUUUCUAAAAUGGAUCCAUUGGUGACAGAGUACACUUGGAGUUCUUACCCCACCCUUCCCAGGGUUUGGUGUCUUCACAAGUAGCUCUGUGCUCCUCUUUCUUGCUCUUUCUCCACAGGUGAAUGGCCUGCUGUCUUAAUUUCCCUAUUUCAUUUCAGCACAGGCACAAUCAAAUCAUCCCAACUGGUGACCCUUCUGACAAGCAACUGCAGAAAUGAAGAUUUUUAAUCCACUCUAAAACUGACACAUGUCCCAUAUGGUUAUUUUGGGCUUUCUGGGUUGCAGGGUAGUGUAAAUAUUUACACAAUUCUGAAAAAACAUUGCUAGGAAAAGUUCUUAAGAAAAUAACUCAUUAUUCUGGGAUCACCCUGUGCUUAAAGUAGCAGAAAUUUUUAUUCCUAGAAGUUCCAUCUUGGUGACGUUUUUCCAUUCAGAUCCAUAAAUCAUCCCAUAACUCUUCAAUGAACCCUUACCAGGUAAGACCAGCCUAAGUAACAACAGUCUUUCCCCACCAGUAUACACUGGCAUCACUCAUUUACUGUAGCUCCAAUUAAUGGUAGUAGAAGUUACACUUGUAAAUUCCCCCACGCAUUAAUGAGUGAACAGACCCCCUCUGUUUAGUUAACCAUCUUCCAGUUACCUGGCACUUUCCCCAUCCCUUGUGAGAUCUCAAAUAUUUAAUUAAAGCCUUUCCUUUUUUUUUCCUUUUUCUUUUUUUUCCUCCCCCCACUCUCCUUCAUUCAGUUUGUUGAGUUGUAAUUCUUGUUGGCCUGAUGCCUUGGCAACAUUCAGCACUUCUAAUUGCCUGUAUAGUCUGGCCUAGUCAUGGAGCCUUUUAACUUUCAUUCAGGCUUCCAGCAGUAUCAGCCUCACUGGUCACAAGCUUCCCACUCAGGUUCCGUUCACAGCCCUUUUGCUGAUUACUUGUUAUGUAUUUAAAGAGCUCCAUACUGUUUAUUUCAUUUCCUGUUUGAGAUAGUCUGUUUGCUUAAUUUUUUUCUAUGCUAAUUUAAUUUUAAACAUAUAGGGCUGUCUUCCUGGUCAAACAAGCCAGAAUUUUGCAUCCAUAUGCUACAUUAAAUAAUAAUAAAACAACAAAUAAUAGUCAAUGCUUUUUACUUCUAUAAUGUCUACCAUUCAAUGAUCUCAUAGCAUUCUUAUUUUACAAGUGGUAAAAUGGUGUCAAGAGACAUGAACUACUUGUUAAACAAUAUGUAUGACAUCUGUUACAGAGCCAGACACAGGAUUGAAUAGUUUGGUUUUCACUAAUAGCAGUUAGUCUAAAAAUUGCAAUAUGCUAUAGGAAUUAUUAGGUUAAAAUGUGCUUCAAGAGAGUGGGCUGUACCCUGGUGGAGACAUGUAUUGUAGAGACUUUUGUUCUCAGAAUAUCAUCUUUAUUGGCUUAUAAGGUGCAGAACGGACAGGAAAAUCCAAUGGAUAUUCAUGUGGACUCUGUAAAGGUUAGUAACACGUGUAAUUUUGAUUCAUGUUGAUUUUAGAGGCACUAUUAUUAAUCACAAAUAGCCUGGUGCAUUUUUUGUUUCAUUUUGUUGUCUGUGUAAAGGUCUAGCAUUCCCGUUUCCCUUUAAUUUCAGCAAACCUCUGGCUUACUAUGGCUACAAUAGCUCAUUUAUGUCUCUGCAGACAUAAUAUGCUAAUGUUAUGACAUACGAUAAUAUUUUCUGGAUGCGUUCUUUUUCAGUGUCAAACAGCACACACAGAUAAAUUGAAAAUGGUCCCUAUAAUUCUUGGUUUUUAAGGCUGCUCAUGCCCAGCACCUGAUCGUGGCUCUGUGCUGUGAACGCAGCUAGGACCUCAUCCAUGGCCAAGGUCAAAUUCCUUUGGUCGCUCUGCAGGAGUCAAUAGCUGAUUUAAUGCCUGCACUCUGCUUUCAGAAAGUGCAUGCUCAUAUUUGCUGUUACUGUGUACUUAAAGGAAGAUAUUUCAUGUGUGUGUUCUCCUUCCCAAGAUCAGAAUGCAAAGGCAAAGAAGAACCAACACAAUUGCAUCGGUAGCAAGGGUGAGUAGAGGCCAAGCUUGAAAAAAAGAAGGAACAUUUCCUGCUGGCUGGGGUAGGUUCCCUGACAUGGUGGUAAGCAUGGUGAAAUGAUCUUUCAUGGUUUUCAGGAGUGAAAUCAGAUUAGUUCUUCUGGUGACACAAAGUUUUCCAGAGACUCCACAAAAAUAUCAAGGUGUACUAGAAAGCUAACAGCUGAAAUACGUGGAAGUAAAAAAUGUUUCACAAUAUCAUUGUAUCAAAAGAAAAAUCUUGAAAUGAAAUUUGAUUGUUUCCUUAAGAAUAACUCAAAUUGUUAUAAUGUCUGAAAAGCAGCAAUAUACAAAACAGCUUGCUACAAAUACAGGAUUUCAUUUGUAACACGAAUGUACGUCCACUUAUUUCUAUAUUUCUGCUUGUUUGACCAGUGUGUGUUCUGACCUAAGUCCUAAGUAUAAUUUGGUGCCCAUGGCUGCAUCUGGGCUUCUUUUGGAUAAGGACUGUGUGGGCUUUUGAACAAUAGUCUGCCAAGCAAUGUAUUAUGAAUCCUAAUUGUUUUAGAAAACAGUUGUUCUUUUUCUUCAGCAAACACUGUCGAAUCCACAUUAUUAACAUAGAUAUAUAUAAUCGUUUUGAAAAUCAUUCUCGGUUUGAAGAAUUCUAAUGCUUCAUACAGUGAUUAUGCAAAAGUCUCAUGUAUAAGCAAUACCGAUGUUACUGGAAGCGCCUCUUACAGAGUCCAAAUAUAGCAGAUCAAAUCAAAACUGUGCUACAUCUUAAGCAACUGUUGACCCAUUUCCAUAUCAAAUUGGUUUCUGUUAUAGAAGACUUUGCCUUUUCUUUUGGAGAUAUUUACUUGCACAGUUCUAGCUCAAGUAUAGUAACAGCACAUUUUAUUCUAAGGUAAUUUAAUAAUCAGUCAAUUGUGGGUUUUUUUUUUUACUUGGUUUAUUAGCAACUUUCUAAUUAAGAGACUGUCAUAAUAAAAAGCUUGUUUCUGCUCUGUGGUAUGUGACUGUACCACCGGCUCCUGUAAAAUCAGUUGCCAUGAUUCAGCACAUGCAGGAAGCUGGUGCUAGGUGCUAUGCCAUGUGCAGGAUGCCCACCAGUUGGCUUGAUAAGCUCAGUCCUAAAUAUCUAACUUAAAUAAACUGAAGCGAGGAAAUUCUAUUUUAAAAUUUUCACUUUGCCCCUUGUUUAUCCUGCUUUUUUUUUGAGGAGGCGAGGGGUGGGGGGAUCAGCACAAUUAAUAGACUAUGGUAUAUCAGUCAAAUUUGAGAGAUUGCUAUAAAUACCUAGAGUAGGAAGAAGGUGAGUUGUUAGAGGUGUAACUUCUUUGUGUCACUUUGUUAGAACAUUAGCAGUAUCUCAAUAUAGAUUUCCUUUUUGGCUUCUAAUGGUCUAUUCAUUUCACCAGGGAGAGGAUGGGGAGAAUGUGUCACUGCUGUUUUUCUGGCAUGAACUGCCAUUCCCUUUGGUGGCUCCUGGAGUCUCCCUGGGCGGCAGCGGUCCCUCCGGCGGGGAUUGCUGCCAGAGCUGGCUCUCUCAGCUGCCACAUUUCCUACAGCUGUGCCAUUGUGCGUGGACAUCAAUGUAGGUGACAUUGCCAAAUAGUAAAUCUCAGGCCCAAGUAGUGUUUUAAAGCAGGAUUUACUUCUUGCACAAAAAAUGUAUAGCCCAGGCAGCAGGCCAGCUGGGACUGCAGCAGGCUUGCCAGUGCCCGUGCUCCAAAUAAUCUAUUAUGUUGUAUAUGAUCAAGCCACACCUACAGAAUUAAUUACAUAAUAUGAACAAUAUUUGAAUGUUACUAGUUAAUUUGCUUUUUCCCAAUGGCUGGUAUUUUUUUUUUUUUAUUUUUAUGUAUGUAUAAAAGUCUAAGCAUCUUAGACAACAAGAUGCUUGUUUAACAUAAAAGGGUCAUUCACAUUAUAAAUACUACGGUAAAUAAUAUUAUUUGAAAUAUAAAUGUAAUAGAUUAUUUAGGUGAUUUUGAUACCUUAACAGUGGUUCUCUGCUGAGAUCAUAGAUUUUUUUUGUCAUUGGUGACUGUACAGAUGUACAAGAAUAUAAUUUGUAAACUUGGUAUAUUUGUACCUUUGCAGUCUCUCCUUUGAAAAGUGGUUUCUAGUCAUUUGGGAGAACAGUGUAACUAAACAUCUUUUCUGGGGAUAUGGUUUUACAUGCCACCUCUCAAAAGACAUUUCUGAUCUAUGGUAGCAGAAGCUAUUCUUUCAUCCCCAAGCUCAACAUCGGUAUGUUAAAUAUAGAAAUGACAAACAUGUGUGGUUUUAUGUCUCAUGUCAGAGAUGAUGCCUUCAGAAAGCACAGCCGUUUCCAUUACAAUGCCAGGGCAGGGUACAGUAUUAGCUGACAGGCAUGUGAAUCUCUGACAGGGUCUGUCCUCAUGGCAGAGCUGGCAGGUUACAGCCUGCUCCAGCCUUCAUCUCCUGCUCCUCAGUGGUGCUGAGCUCUGUGUUCUCCACCUCUGUAGUGGACCUCCAGGAGCAUGGCACUGUUGAGGGCCUGGUGGGCCAUGAGAAAAGCUGCCUGUUCUGACAAUAAUCUGUAAGGGAACAUUUUCAUAUCAGAGAAUGCAGAUUUUUUGGAAAUGGCUUUUUAAAUGGAGGAAGUUUGUUAGAAGAAGCAAGCAGUGUCAAGAAACCUAACUGGUUCCUGAAGGUUCCUUUCCAGGCUGGUAUUCCAGCUUUAUGUUAACGUGUGCAUCAGGUUGCUCUCAUAAUUGGACUGUUUUUGAUCCUCUCUGUCUUACUGAUAAACCUUUUAAGGCUGAAGGACACAAGUUUGUUGUUGACUUCUUCCUGUUAGAAACCCAAACAUCUUGUUGGAAACGCAAAACCUGUGAGGCUUUGAAGUUACUGUGCAAGCCAGGGCUUAUAAUCUCCAAGUUUCUCAGAGUAAGUGGCCCUUCACUACUGAUUAUCAGGCCUAUUGUAACUAUGAAUGUCUGUGAUUAAUUACAUUAUUGUAAUUUUACAGUGCUAGAGAAGCAAAACCCAAGUUUGUUAUAAUGUUUUAGGUUAUCUCUGGCUGCAGACUAUGAGUAUGCUAGAUGUAUUUGGGAAUUUUAUGGCAAAUGCCAGCUAAGGGAAACCUGAAUCUAGACUUAGGUAUCCAGCAUUUCGUCUCUGUGGAUUACAAAUCUAUCUGAAAGCAGGGAAAGAGAAACAAAUUCUUUCAUAAAUCAAAGUGGUAUUCUCCAGCUGGAAUCCUGUUAUACAUCAUCAGAUACAGAUACUAUUUUUAGUGAACUCCUCAAAUUAAUGGCUUUUUUUAAAAUGUUCCACUGCACUUGAAAAAAUGAAGAAAUGAACCCCAUGUAAUUGAAAAAUGCUUUGGAAUAAAUAAAACAGCUGUUAUUAGCAUUUAGCUUUGUAUAUCAUAAAACCUUUUUAUGUUCAGGUUUGGUGAUUAUGCAACUUGAGUCAUUCUUAAAUCAGAGACAUGGGUCUGAAUCACAACUAAACAACUCACUUUUUGUUUUCCUUCAGGGAUCUUCAGCCUGGCUUUGUUCAAUGAAACUGAAUAUGCCACAUUAGAGCACAAGCAGAUGAUUACCAACAAUGUUUAUUGAUGCUACCACUAAGAGAAAAUGGCAGACUGAUAUAAAAUAAAGAGACUUAGCAGAUGGGUUAUUGGCAUUUGAAUUGGUUGAAAUAGAUUACUGAUUUUACCCCAAACCUGCCCUUUUAUGAACACUGCAGUAUCGUCGCUUGUUGUAGAACUGUAAAUCAUAUUCAUUCUUAUAAAAUUAUUUCCUGUUCCAACCCAGAGUAUUUAUGAUUAUAUAUGCAAACAAGAUUUUAUUAUCAGGGGAAUCUAAAGCAGGGUUCCUUGUUAGAGCUCCUGUCAGCACUGACUUGAGACGUAAGCUGCCAGCAUAGAAAGUUAGAUUAAAAGAAACAUGUAUUGUUUCUAGGCAUCCCCUUAAUAUAAAACCAGCAAAAAAAGAUCUGCAAACAUAAUUAGACACAUGGCUCUAAUUGAAAUCAAUGGGAAUUAGAAUCAACAUCAAGGAGCCUGACUUUCAGUAAGCUGUGACUGAGCAGUGCCGAGAACCACAUGAGCCUGAAAAGGGAUUCAGACAGCCCAGAUCAGGGGCAGAGCUGAGAACUGCCUUGAGUCUGCUAAAAACAAAAUGCAGAUGUAGAAUAGGCUAGGAUGAGUAUAAGAAAUUAGGGCAUUCAGGCUCUUUGAAUCUGGCUCUGGGUGCCUAAAUAAGGCUGUAAGAUCUUGAUUAUGGUAAUUCUCACGAACUCCAAGCUAGUGUGAGGAGCCAUGCUAUGAUUGAUUAGUACUUUGGUUUUAACAUUGAGCAUUUUGUGCUAUGAGCAUCCAUCAAGCCCUGCAGGCUUCAUUACCCUUUGUUGUGGGUCAAGACAUGUUCUUUACGUGUAGGUCAUCAAAACAGUCCGGACUCAUCAAUAUUUGUUCUGGAGGCUUUUUGCACUGGAUAUGGUUCUUGAUAUAUUUGAAUUAACAAUGACCCUUAGUAUCCAGGAUGAUUCAUCACAAUUGCCAAUGCAUAUUUAUAGCAGCAAAAAUUCAUUCAGUGCUAGUCAAGGAAAUCGUGUGUGAAUUUAAGUCCAGUUGGCAAGGUAGUACAGUAUCUGAAAUGUUGGCUGUGCAGCAGCUGUCAUUCUAUGCCAAUCUAUUCUAUCAUACAGUAAGCAGGUGGCUCACACAUAUUGUUUUUACUACAUAUCAUUUUAAUUUUGCAAUGUCUCACUGAAAUAGGAAAUGUGUGCUACUGAUUUCAAUAAGAUUUUCUUUAUUGAAGCCAGAAGAGCAUGUUAAUAGCAUGCAGCAAUUUACAGUGUAGUUGAAGUAAUACAGCAGCUGGUGAACCUGUUUAUUCCCUAUGGCUGUAGUUGUAUAUUGGUCUUAAGUGUAGCUAAUUAACUUCUAUUCAUUAGAGAUUUUACAAAAAUUCAAGCAGAAAAGAGAACACAAGCCUCAAACCAUUCGUGUUCCUUCAGCACCCUUUUGUGAAGCCAUACUGCAGCAGCCCAUCUCCUCUGGCAGACAUGUGAUGUCCUCAGGCCAGCCGAGGGGGACUCUGUGAUCUUCUGUGUUUCUCAGAUUGGUAAAAUUCAAGAUACAAGGUUCAAGAUCAGGUGUUUUGGUGAAGAUAAGUUUUUGCUCAGAAGCAUUGAGGCUACAGAUGAGAUCAAAUGAAGGAUCAACAUCCGCCUUCUUUCUAAAAUUCGCUGUUUUCUACGAGUUAGUAAAGUAUCACACCUCUUCGAAUCGAGCUACUGGAUGCCCUGGUGGAGCAGCUCCCUGCAGUUGUGGCAUUUGAACACUGAGUGGCACUAAAGCCCACGGCACCGGCAACGCAAGCUGGCAGAUGGUUGUUAGCUACAGAAGGAUUUAAAGUGAGCAGGGAGGGAUGGUUAGUGGCAUGCAUUACCUUUUGUCACCUUUCAUCUGCACACUGCUGCACUGCUUUGCUUCUUCACACCACUUUGAGGCAGUUUGACUGUAUUGGAGCUCUGCUAGUUUAUGACAGCUGCUGCUCUUGUGAAGUGAUCCUGGAUUCUGGAUUUCAGGGCUAUGUCAGUGAUGCUCAAGACAGUGGGAAUUAUUUACACCCCUGACCAUUUUUAUGUCAAGCUCAGCAUAUCCUAUAUAUAUAUGGAAGUAUGGCUUACAAUUGGAUGCAAUAGUGAAAGAAGCCAACUUGAAGGGAUGGCUGUACAAAAAUCUGCUGCAAAGUAGACAGGAUCAGAGCCUUCUCUUCAAGUCCCUUAGUAGUGUGCUCUGACCUUGCAUAAAUGCAAUGUACGUUUACCCCUGAGAAAACUGAGCUAAUCUGCUUUGUGUUUGGCAUCCCACAGAAAUAAACAUGAUUCAGUUAUGAGCUUCAGAGGAGGGCACAAGGCUGCCACUGAGCCAGGAAGAGUCGUUGAAGGAGCUGAUGAUGGAUGCCAAGAGCUUUCACUUUAAUUGUUUUAAUGUCAGACUGUGCCCCUGGAUUUUGCUGGGACCAGCUGUGUGUAAUUCGGCUGCUGGGCCCUAGAUGGUGUCUGGCUUGUCUCUGCUGCUCUGCGCCCUUCCCUCGUGUCUUCAUUGUGAGCUUUGCUUGGCAAGUGAGGAGAGCGCAUUGCAUGCGUGGUGACAGCGCACGGCUCUUGUGAUGUGAAACCAGCGUUGAAGAGUUUCUAGGAGUUAGGAAAUUUUAGUUUCAAAGAUCCCCACUAAUUCUGGUGCCUCAGUAUUUGGAUACUGAAACAGCUGAGUUUUUGGUCUCCUGUUACUCUGCAGUUUCACAGAAGAGCAUCCUGGUCUGUAAUACUCAAGCAAUAUGGUCAUGCAUGCUCUUAGAAAGAUCUAUUUUUCAGAUGCAUAAACAAUGUGUUGGAAAAUCAGCAAUUGUUUUUAUGUAUCAUUUUGACAGUAGCACUCCACACAAAAAUCCUAUAUAUUCAGAUGGAUCAGAAUAGGCACAAAACUAGGUUUCUAAUAUACAUUAUGGAAAAUAUUAAAAAAAUUAAAAUUAUUUAAAAAUAUUUCAAUCAUUUAAAAUGGUGUUCAGAGAUACUAGAAUAAAAAUGCGUUGCUCACAUCUGUAGUUAACUGAGGCUCAUGAAAUACUUUUCUUGCAGGACAGGGUAAAACUAGAUGCUGUGUUGAAACAUUCAUAAGGAAAGCUAAUAAAAUAUUUUCUGUGUCAGGAUGAAGGAAUUAUGUUUUCAGUUUUGGAUUUUGUUUUGCUGAGAAAUAAAGUUAAAUUCUAUUUUAAAGGUUAAUUUUCAGGUUUGGGCUUAAAAAUAUCUCAAAUAUUUUACCAGUAUUUUGAUCUCAGUCUCUAGGUUUGGAUCUGACCUAUAAUAAAGAAAUGACCAGAUACAGAAGAUUUUUCAUACAAAUAGAAAAACAAA
Non-coding RNA from Cyanistes caeruleus (blue tit), 10409 nucleotides. NCBI's taxonomy places the organism in Eukaryota, Metazoa, Chordata, Aves, Passeriformes, Paridae. The record is from RefSeq and is a predicted model, not a curated record.